CCUCCCUUCUUGAUAUCAAGAGAGCGUUCGUCGAAUUUGAUUUGCUUUCUUUCUUUCGCGUGGUUACUGCUGUGCUCUCUAGAUUCUCCAGAUUUUAUUAUUUCUCCGGCUUCAUUUUCUGCCUUUUUUCAACCGAGCACGCAGCUCGAUCGUCCCAUCUUGUAUACAGAUAAGAUACUAUGCAUCUAUCUACGUAAAUACAUAUAUGUGUCAACAAAAGAAUAAGUCUCCAGUACCAGGAUUGGAAGACCGUGAGACCGUGCAUUGUAGCCACUUUCACUCCGGUUACUAGUACCCUUGGGAGGAUACCAGGAAUCCAUUGGCAAAGGGACAGGGUUACUGACUUGCUGUAGAUUUCGUUCCUGUAAAGAAGGGGGAAUGGAGAAGAAUGAAAGAUAUGCAAGAUUAUUGCCAUAUUGACAUGGACAGGGUCGGGCGUCUUCCACUCCCACGCGCUCACACACAAACUCACACACACAUAACUAGAUAUAUGCAUACAUAUUCGCCAAAGCCUCUUCUCACAUCUCAC
RNAcentral lists this small RNA (529 nucleotides) under Histoplasma capsulatum. RNAcentral describes it as "hypothetical RNA". RNAcentral also lists the same sequence under 1 other name. The record is from RNAcentral. Lineage: Eukaryota; Fungi; Ascomycota; Eurotiomycetes; Onygenales; Ajellomycetaceae.